This 253-nucleotide ribosomal RNA is filed under the name uncultured bacterium. RNAcentral describes it as "partial 16S ribosomal RNA". It matches the Rfam family "Bacterial small subunit ribosomal RNA", at positions 524 to 776 of the family's 1533-position model. The record is from RNAcentral.
UACGUAGGGUGCGAGCGUUGUCCGGAAUUAUUGGGCGUAAAGAGCUUGUAGGCGGUUUGUCGCGUCGGCCGUGAAAAUCCGGGGCUCAACCCCGGACUUGCUGUGGGUACGGGCAGACUAGAGUGUGGUAGGGGAGACUGGAAUUCCUGGUGUAGCGGUGAAAUGCGCAGAUAUCAGGAGGAACACCGAUGGCGAAGGCAGGUCUCUGGGCAACUACUGACGCUGAGAAGCGAAAGCGUGGGGAGCGAACAGG